AGAGGCGAUGAAGGACGUGCUAAUCUGCGAUAAGCGCCGGUAAGGUGAUAUGAACCGUUAUAACCGGCGAUUUCCGAAUGGGGAAACCCAGUGUGAUUCGUCACACUAUCAUUAACUGAAUCCAUAGGUUAAUGAGGCGAACCGGGGGAACUGAAACAUCUAAGUACCCCGAGGAAAAGAAAUCAACCGAGAUUCCCCCAGUAGCGGCGAGCGAACGGGGAGGAGCCCAGAGCCUGAAUCAGCAUGUGUGUUAGUGGAAGCGUCUGGAAAGGCGCGCGAUACAGGGUGACAGCCCCGUACACAAAAGCGCAUGUGCUGUGAGCUCGAUGAGUAGGGCGGGACACGUGGUAUCCUGUCUGAAUAUGGGGGGACCAUCCUCCAAGGCUAAAUACUCCUGACUGACCGAUAGUGAACCAGUACCGUGAGGGAAAGGCGAAAAGAACCCCGGCGAGGGGAGUGAAAAAGAACCUGAAACCGUGUACGUACAAGCAGUGGGAGCACAGGUUUACCUGUGUGACUGCGUACCUUUUGUAUAAUGGGUCAGCGACUUAUAUUCUGUAGCAAGGUUAACCGUAUAGGGGAGCCGGAGGGAAACCGAGUCUUAACCGGGCGUUAAGUUGCAGGGUAUAGACCCGAAACCCGGUGAUCUAGCCAUGGGCAGGUUGAAGGUUGGGUAACACUAACUGGAGGACCGAACCGACUAAUGUUGAAAAAUUAGCGGAUGACCUGUGGCUGGGGGUGAAAGGCCAAUCAAACCGGGAGAUAGCUGGUUCUCCCCGAAAGCUAUUUAGGUAGCGCCUCGUGAAUUCAUCUCCGGGGGUAGAGCACUGUUUCGGCUAGGGGGCCAUCCCGGCUUACCAACCCGAUGCAAACUGCGAAUACCGGAGAAUGUUAUCACGGGAGACACACGGCGGGUGCUAACGUCCGUCGUGAAGAGGGAAACAACCCAGACCGCCAGCUAAGGUCCCAAAGUCAUGGUUAAGUGGGAAACGAUGUGGGAAGGCCCAGACAGCCAGGAUGUUGGCUUAGAAGCAGCCAUCAUUUAAAGAAAGCGUAAUAGCUCACUGGUCGAGUCGGCCUGCGCGGAAGAUGUAACGGGGCUAAACCAUGCACCGAAGCUGCGGCAGCGACACUCAGGUGUUGUUGGGUAGGGGAGCGUUCUGUAAGCCUGUGAAGGUGGCCUGUGAGGGUUGCUGGAGGUAUCAGAAGUGCGAAUGCUGACAUAAGUAACGAUAAAGCGGGUGAAAAGCCCGCUCGC
Molecule: ribosomal RNA, 1258 nt
Filed under: Salmonella enterica subsp. enterica serovar Sendai
Lineage: Bacteria; Pseudomonadati; Pseudomonadota; Gammaproteobacteria; Enterobacterales; Enterobacteriaceae
Description: partial 23S ribosomal RNA
Rfam family: Bacterial large subunit ribosomal RNA
Source: RNAcentral